AUGGGCUUGGCCCAUUCCUUUAUUUCAAAAACCCUAGUUCCAUUGUGUGUGUGUGACGGCAUAGCAGACCCAUUCUCUGUUCGAAGAUCUCGUUCCGUAAUCCAGAUUUUUCCGGUUAGUGUGUGAUGUUGUUUAUGUUAAUAGAUGAUGCUUUGAGUGUAUAUGACUUCAUGAUUUAUCAAUUGUCUGGCAAUAUGUUGUUUGUAUGUUAACCGGAUAUGUAUGUUAAUCGGAUAUGGAUGUUAAUCGGAUAUGUAUGUUAAUCGGAUAUGGAUGUUAAUCGGAUGUGUAUGUUAAUCGGAUCUGUUGUGAUGAUGUUUAAUGAUAAUGUUUUGUGGAUCGGCUGUGAUAUUAUGCAAUUCGGAAUUUUUAUUGUUCAUGGAACCGGAACAUAAUAUGAUUAAGUGUUAUUAUUGUUCAUGUGGUUAAAUUAGGGUUCAUGAGGUUUAAUAUGAAACUCCCUGUUUGAUCGAUUCUGAGGUAACCGAAUACUUGAAUUUGUGUUAAUUGAUAAUCACGGAUAAACUUGGAAACUUUGAGUAAAUGUAACUGAUAUUUACCGAAAGAUACUUGUUAGUCGAAACAUAGUUGUU
RNAcentral lists this long non-coding RNA (593 nucleotides) under Helianthus annuus (common sunflower). Lineage: Eukaryota; Viridiplantae; Streptophyta; Magnoliopsida; Asterales; Asteraceae. The record is from RNAcentral.